This 729-nucleotide long non-coding RNA is filed under the name Populus trichocarpa (black cottonwood). RNAcentral describes it as "long non-coding RNA (PTRI_LNC000252)". The record is from RNAcentral. Lineage: Eukaryota; Viridiplantae; Streptophyta; Magnoliopsida; Malpighiales; Salicaceae.
UUGCUUCUCAGUUUCUUUAAGAGGACUUUGAAUGUGCCCAGUUUUGUUAGUCCCUCUUUCACACACAAGACUGAGAUCUGAGUAUUGCGAGGUUUGGUCGUGUAUGAAGCCACCAGUUUAGGCGUGAUUAUUGACUCCUGGCUUUAAGAUCCUCGCUUUUUCUACGUAGAAUUGUAGACUUUGAAGAUAAGGAUGUGCAGCAUCAUAGUCUAUCGAUCGAGAUGCAUGUUUUUAAUUUAGUUGGUAGCAAUGAGACUAAGUGCCCUAGCUAGCUAGCUAGCUAGCUAGGUGCGUGUGCAUUUGUAUACGUACAGAGGCAGGCAUCAUGAGAUGUAACCUAGUUCCUUACAGGAUAAGCUAAUUCGACCUCUCUGAAAGGAUCAAAGCUGCGUUAGGAUACCCGGACGCAGCAAGAUUAACUGCAUGUGGGUGAGAAGAAAGAUAACAUGGCCGCAAGCAUGUGGGCAGAGAAAACUUGGCAAUGAGGACAAGCAAAAGUACCCCCACAAUCUUCAGCUAUGCAAAUGCAUGGUCCUUCAUUCCCAUGUGAUCUUCUAAAUAUUGUACUCGUAUGUAUAGAUACUUGAACAUAUCAAAUGUGAGGGCUAUGGACCAUGGACCAUCGGCCAUGUUACCAUCCCAUCAGAAUGUGACCUCGUUUUGUUUUUUUUUUUUUUUAAAUCCUUCAUUUCGGAUAAUAAUGGAUGGUGGAAAUCUUUUCUAGAGUGU